Molecule: long non-coding RNA, 583 nt
Organism: Beta vulgaris subsp. vulgaris (sugar beet)
Lineage: Eukaryota; Viridiplantae; Streptophyta; Magnoliopsida; Caryophyllales; Amaranthaceae
Exons: 2
Source: RefSeq, a predicted model, not a curated record
UUGAUUACAGUAACUUCAUAUUUAUAGCUCCAAAAACCAAGAAGCAUCGAGGACGAACAAAGUUGGUUAAGGUUCAUAAUCGUACAAAAAAAGAACGCCCUUUUCUUAUUAUGAACUCUAAUGGGCAGCCAAUUGGACCCACAAAUGAGAUGGUUCAAGAAUUUGCUCGCUUUUUGGGAACAGUGUCAAAAAAUCCUUGAGCAGAAUGGUGAACAAGAAUUAUCUUACGGGACACACUUGUUAAAUCAGGUACAUCAAGGAGAGGAAAAUGUAUCACAUGAAGAACAAUUGCAGUCGCACGAAUGACAAUUUUUGGGCGUUGGAUCUUGCUUAAAAGUGGAGCAUGGUUUUGGAAUUAAUUAGGCAACUAGCUAGUAAUCUUAUUUAAUGGACAUAUAUUAACGCUAGAAGUAGAUAUUUUUUGGUGCAUAUAUAUUAGGUUGGAAGUAAAUAUAUUAGGUGAUGGAAUUUAUCUUGGGAUUUGAUAUAUAUGCGAUAGUACUAUAUUAAGUACUUGGUGUUGGAAAUUGUCAAACGAUUGGAUGAACUUGAAUAUAUUUAUGGGUCUUUUUGGAAAUCUAAA